AGAGUUUGAUCAUGGCUCAGAGCGAACGCUGGUGGCAGGCUUAACACAUGCAAGUCGAGCGGGCGUAGCAAUACGUCAGCGGCAGACGGGUGAGUAACGCGUGGGAACGUACCUUUUGGUUCGGAACAACACAGGGAAACUUGUGCUAAUACCGGAUAAGCCCUUACGGGGAAAGAUUUAUCGCCGAAAGAUCGGCCCGCGUCUGAUUAGCUAGUUGGUGAGGUAAUGGCUCACCAAGGCGACGAUCAGUAGCUGGUCUGAGAGGAUGAUCAGCCACAUUGGGACUGAGACACGGCCCAAACUCCUACGGGAGGCAGCAGUGGGGAAUAUUGGACAAUGGGGGCAACCCUGAUCCAGCCAUGCCGCGUGAGUGAUGAAGGCCCUAGGGCUGUAAAGCUCUUUUGUGCGGGAAGAUAAUGACGGUACCGCAAGAAUAAGCCCCGGCUAACUUCGUGCCAGCAGCCGCGGUAAUACGAAGGGGGCUAGCGUUGCUCGGAAUCACUGGGCGUAAAGGGUGCGUAGGCGGGUUUUUAAGUCAGGGGUGAAAUCCUGGAGCUCAACUCCAGAACUGCCUUUGAUACUGAAGAUCUUGAGUCCGGGAGAGGUGAGUGGAACUGCGAGUGUAGAGGUGAAAUUCGUAGAUAUUCGCAAGAACACCAGUGGCGAAGGCGGCUCACUGGCCCGGUACUGACGCUGAGGCACGAAAGCGUGGGGAGCAAACAGGAUUAGAUACCCUGGUAGUCC
This 744-nucleotide ribosomal RNA is filed under the name uncultured bacterium. RNAcentral describes it as "bacterial SSU rRNA". It matches the Rfam family "Bacterial small subunit ribosomal RNA", at positions 8 to 796 of the family's 1533-position model. The record is from RNAcentral.